ACCCCCUGCAAGGCAGCGUCCCUGUAAACGGUCCCGUGGAGACCAAAGUGUGGGACCGCGUCAUCCACGUCAGGGACGGUCACGUGGUCCCUCUAGGGGCACGCGGCACCGUGAUAGGCCUGCAGCCAGCAGCCCAGCCCUCCGACUUCCUUUACGACGUGGCUUUCGACGAAGCCUUCGCCGGGGGCUUGACACUAGCGGGCCCCGCGUCUGCCCACCGCUGCUACAGACUCCGCUGGUCUGCCUUCGUCAACCUCUCCACCGAACCUCCCAACCCGGAAGAGCAAUGGCCCCUGACGCAGUCCAGACUAUCGGUUCCCGAGGCUCGACGGGGGAAUGUGGAGACUGAUCAUCUGCAGCAAGGCCAGCCUCUUGCAGGAGGGACUUUCUCUCACUGCUACUACUCCAGCUGUGGGGAAGACGUCUCGGGUGAACGGAGAACGUGGAAUAGCGGCCGUGGGGAAGACGUCUUGGGUGAACGGAGAACGUGGAAUAGCGGCCGUGGG
Long non-coding RNA from Hyalella azteca, 506 nucleotides. RefSeq lists it as uncharacterized. The transcript has 3 exons. NCBI's taxonomy places the organism in Eukaryota, Metazoa, Arthropoda, Malacostraca, Amphipoda, Hyalellidae. The record is from RefSeq and is a predicted model, not a curated record.